GACGAACGCUGGCGGCGUGCUUAACACAUGCAAGUCGAACGGAAAGCCCCUGCUUUUGUGGGGUGCUCGAGUGGCGAACGGGUGAGUAACACGUGAGUAACCUGCCCUUGACUUUGGAAUAACUUCAGGAAACUGGGGCUAAUACCGGAUAGGAGCUCCUGCUGCAUGGUGGGGGUUGGAAAGUUUCGGCGGUUGGGGAUGGACUCGCGGCUUAUCAGCUUGUUGGUGGGGUAGCGGCUUACCAAGGCUUUGACGGGUAGCCGGCCUGAGAGGGUGACCGGCCACAUUGGGACUGAGAUACGGCCCAGACUCCUACGGGAGGCAGCAGUGGGGAAUAUUGCACAAUGGGCGGAAGCCUGAUGCAGCAACGCCGCGUGCGGGAUGACGGCCUUCGGGUUGUAAACCGCUUUCGCCUGUGACGAAGCGUGAGUGACGGUAAUGGGUAAAGAAGCACCGGCUAACUACGUG
This 468-nucleotide ribosomal RNA is filed under the name uncultured bacterium. RNAcentral's name for it is "partial 16S ribosomal RNA". It matches the Rfam family "Bacterial small subunit ribosomal RNA", at positions 28 to 507 of the family's 1533-position model. The record is from RNAcentral.